GAUGAACGCUGGCGGCGUGCUUAACACAUGCAAGUCUAACGAAGCACUUUAUUUGAUUUCCUUCGGUACUGAUUAUUUUGUGACUGAUUGCCGGACGGCUUAGUAACGCGUGGGUAACCUGCCUUUUCCAGGGGGAUACCAGUUGGAAACGUCUGCUUAUACCGCAUAAGCGCACGGCAUCGCAUGCUGCAGUGUGAAAAACUCCGGUGGUAUAACAUGGACCCGCGUUGGAUUAGCUAGUUGGUGAGGUAACUGCCAACCACGGCGAAGAACCUUAGCCGACCAGAGAGGGUAACCGGCGACAUUGGGACUGAGACACGGCCAAAAAUCCGAAGGGAGGCAGCAGUGGGGAAUAUUGCACAAUGGGAGAAAGCCGGAGGCAGCGACGCCGAGUGAGCGAAGAAGGAUUUCGGUAUGUAAAGCUCUAUCAGCAGGGAAGAUAAUGACGGUACCUGACUAAGAAGCACCGGAUAAAUACGUG
RNAcentral lists this ribosomal RNA (481 nucleotides) under uncultured bacterium. Its description in RNAcentral is "partial 16S ribosomal RNA". It matches the Rfam family "Bacterial small subunit ribosomal RNA", at positions 28 to 507 of the family's 1533-position model. The record is from RNAcentral.